GACGAACGCUGGCGGCGUGCCUAACACAUGCAAGUCGAACGGAAAGGCCCUGCUUUUGUGGGGUGCUCGAGUGGCGAAGGGGUGAGUAACACGUGAGUAACCUGCCCUUGACUUUGGGAUAACUUCAGGAAACUGGGGCUAAUACCGGAUAGCAGCUCCCGUUGCCUUGUGAGGGUUGGAAAUUUUCGGCGGUUGGGGUUGGACUCGCGGCUUAUCAGCUUGUUGGUGGGGUAGUGGCUUACCAAGGCUUUGACGGGUAGCCGGCAUGAGAGGGUGACCGGCCACAUUGGGACUGAGAUACGUCCCAGACUCCUACGGGAGGCAGCAGUGGGGAAUAUUGCACAAUGGGCGGAAGCCUGAUGCAGCAACGCCGCGUGCGGGAUGACGGCCUUCGGGUUGUAAACCGCUUUCGCCUGUGACGAAGCGUGAGUGACGGUAAUGGGUAAAGAAGCACCGGCUAACUACGUG
Molecule: ribosomal RNA, 468 nt
Filed under: uncultured bacterium
Lineage: Bacteria
Description: partial 16S ribosomal RNA
Rfam family: Bacterial small subunit ribosomal RNA
Source: RNAcentral